Lathyrus oleraceus (garden pea) is the source of this 111-nucleotide small nucleolar RNA. RefSeq annotates it as small nucleolar RNA Z152/R70/R12. The record is from RefSeq and is a predicted model, not a curated record. NCBI's taxonomy places the organism in Eukaryota, Viridiplantae, Streptophyta, Magnoliopsida, Fabales, Fabaceae. The transcript has a single exon.
GGUGCUAUGAUGACGUAAAGGCACAUAGGAAGUGUUUAUGGGUAGUGGACAUAAUCGUAUGGUUUCGCUGUGAGUCUAACUUCAAAAUGAUUUCUCCUUCCACUGUGCAUU